This 518-nucleotide ribosomal RNA is filed under the name uncultured Pseudomonadota bacterium. RNAcentral's name for it is "bacterial SSU rRNA". It matches the Rfam family "Bacterial small subunit ribosomal RNA", at positions 8 to 522 of the family's 1533-position model. The record is from RNAcentral. Lineage: Bacteria; Pseudomonadati; Pseudomonadota.
AGAGUUUGAUCCUGGCUCAGAUUAACGCUGGCGGCAUGCUUACACAUCAAGUCGAGCGGCAGCGCGGGGGCAACCCUGGCGGCGAGCGGCGAACGGGUGAGUAAUGCAUCGGAACGUGUCCCGUAAUGGGGGAUAACGCCGCGAAAGCGGCGCUAAUACCGCAUACGCUCUACGGAGGAAAGUGGGGGAACCGCAAGGACCUCACGUUAGGGGAGCGGCCGAUGUCCGAUUAGCUAGUUGGUGGGGUAACGGCCUACCAAGGCGACGAUCGGUAGCUGGUCUGAGAGGAUGAUCAGCCACACUGGGACUGAGACACGGCCCAGACUCCUACGGGAGGCAGCAGUGGGGAAUUUUGGACAAUGGGGGCAACCCUGAUCCAGCCAUGCCGCGUGCGGGAAGAAGGCCUUCGGGUUGUAAACCGCUUUUAGUCGGGAAGAAAAGGCCGAGGUUAAUACCUUCGGUUUUUGACGGUACCGGCGGAAUAAGCACCGGCUAACUACGUGCCAGCAGCCGCGGUA